RNAcentral lists this transfer RNA (27 nucleotides) under Gaultheria nummularioides. Its description in RNAcentral is "partial tRNA-Cys". Lineage: Eukaryota; Viridiplantae; Streptophyta; Magnoliopsida; Ericales; Ericaceae. The record is from RNAcentral.
AAAUCUGGGUGUCGCCUAAUCAACAAA